RNAcentral lists this ribosomal RNA (480 nucleotides) under uncultured bacterium. RNAcentral's name for it is "bacterial SSU rRNA". It matches the Rfam family "Bacterial small subunit ribosomal RNA", at positions 26 to 518 of the family's 1533-position model. The record is from RNAcentral.
AGGACGAACGCUGGCGGCACGCUUAACACAUGCAAGUCGAACGGAGUUAUCGAGAGCUUGCUUUGAUAACUUAGUGGCGGACGGGUGAGUAACACGUGAGCAAUCUGCCCUUAAGAGGGGGAUAGCAGUUGGAAACGACUGAUAAUACCGCAUAAGAUAGUAGUACCGCAUGGUACAGCUAUAAAAGAUUUAUCGCUUAAGGAUGAGCUCGCGUCUGAUUAGCUAGUUGGUGAGGUAACGGCUCACCAAGGCAACGAUCAGUAGCCGGACUGAGAGGUUGGACGGCCACAUUGGGACUGAGACACGGCCCAGACUCCUACGGGAGGCAGCAGUGGGGAAUAUUGCACAAUGGAGGGAACUCUGAUGCAGCGAUGCCGCGUGAGGGAAGUAAGGUUUUAGGAUUAGUAAACCUCUGUUGACAGGGACGAUAAUGACGGUACCUGUUGGGGAAGCUCCGGCUAACUACGUGCCAGCCGCUGC